Mytilus californianus (California mussel) is the source of this 547-nucleotide long non-coding RNA. RefSeq lists it as uncharacterized. The record is from RefSeq and is a predicted model, not a curated record. Lineage: Eukaryota; Metazoa; Mollusca; Bivalvia; Mytilida; Mytilidae. The transcript is spliced from 2 exons.
GCGCUUUGUUUUCGAGAAAUGCAUUUCAUUGGUAUGCUUUGUUUUGUUUUAUUCUUAUUUGACAGUGUUUGUAAUUUUGCGCAAAUUUGUGGAUCAUGCUUAACUACUGAUUUUAAAAGGCAAAAAUACUGAAAAUUAAAAGUAUUUAAAGGAGUAAUUUUUUGGCACUAUAAUCUACACAUGUGAUUUGAUCGGUCAUUCAUUCAGAUCGCGAGGUGUGACGUCAGUCAUACAUCAUACACCAAGGGCGUUCCAAAAUGACAUCUCUAAGAAUUCCUGAUGGAAAUUUACCUGUACUGAUUGAAUGUUUUUUGUUUAACAUCCAGUGGCAAAAAUUUCCUGCAUAUACAGACAAGCAGUUUAUGAAGGAAGGCAUAACCAUUCAGCAGCGAAAAUAAAGUCAGUGCUGCAUUUAAAACAUUUUAGGUUUGUUUAAGGAUAAAUGAUAUAAGUGAUUUAAUUGUUACUCAUAUGAUACUGUGGAUUUAUUUAAUUUUUGUGGUCUAAAAUUUUUCAUGAAUUGAUGAAAAAUAGAAUUUAUUAUGAA